RNAcentral lists this ribosomal RNA (241 nucleotides) under uncultured bacterium. RNAcentral's name for it is "partial 16S ribosomal RNA". It matches the Rfam family "Bacterial small subunit ribosomal RNA", at positions 15 to 249 of the family's 1533-position model. The record is from RNAcentral.
GAUCAUGGCUCAGAUUGAACGCUGGCGGCAGGCCUAACACAUGCAAGUCGAACGGUAACAGGAAACAGCUUGCUGUUUUCGCUGACGAGUGGCGGACGGGUGAGUAAUGUCUGGGAAACUGCCUGAUGGAGGGGGGAUAACUACUGGAAACGGUAGCUAAUACCGCAUAAUGUCGCAAGACCAAAGAGGGGGACCUUCGGCCGUCUUGCCAUCGGAUGUGCCCAGAUGGGAGUUAGCUAGG